RNAcentral lists this ribosomal RNA (253 nucleotides) under uncultured bacterium. RNAcentral's name for it is "partial 16S ribosomal RNA". It matches the Rfam family "Bacterial small subunit ribosomal RNA", at positions 524 to 776 of the family's 1533-position model. The record is from RNAcentral.
UACGUAGGGUGCGAGCGUUGUCCGGAAUUAUUGGGCGUAAAGGGCUCGUAGGCGGUUUGUCGCGUCGGGAGUGAAAACUCAGGGCUUAACCCUGAGCCUGCUUCCGAUACGGGCAGACUAGAGGUAUGCAGGGGAGAACGGAAUUCCUGGUGUAGCGGUGAAAUGCGCAGAUAUCAGGAGGAACACCGGCGGCGAAGGCGGUUCUCUGGGCAUUACCUGACGCUGAGGAGCGAAAGUGUGGGGAGCGAACAGG